UUUUUUAUCAGUUAGUUGCCCCGCCUCUGUAGUUUUACCAGGAAUGGGGGGUAAAACUGGAAUUCCUGGAAUUCCUGGAAGGGGAGGGAGAGGAGGAAGUUGUGGCAAUGGUGGAAGAAAAGGGACUGUAGGAAGAGGAGAAAGAUCAGGUAUUGUGGAGUUUUGAGUUAGUUGCCCUGCCUCUGUAGUUUUACCAGGAAUGGGGGGUAAAACUGGAAUUCCUGGAAUUCCUGGAAGUCCUGGAAGGGGAGGGAGAGGAGGAAGUUGUGGCAAUGGUGGAAGAAAAGGGACUGUAGGAAGAGGAGAAAGAUCAGGUAUUGUGGAGGUUUGAGUUAGUUGCCCUGCCUCUGUAGUUUUACCAGGAAUGGGGGGUAAAACUGGAAUUCCUGGAAUUCCUGGAAGUCCUGGAAGGGGAGGGAGAGGAGGAAGUAGUGGCAAUGGUGGAAGAUAAGGGAGUGUAGGAAGAGAUGGAAGAUCAGGUAUUGUGGGGUUUUGAGUUGGUGGUGGAAAUGUGAGCUCAUCAGUUGGAGGAAAUGAGAAUUUCCGAGAACUGAAUUCCUUGGAGUUUUGAAUGCUUGGUUUUUGGUUACAUAGGCUUGGCUGCUUUAGAGGCUUAAAGGUGAAGAACCCAGCUGAGAAAAUGUGUGUUCCUUGCUUUCUUGACUUGAGAUGCAGUGAAGAUGAAGUGGCUAUUGAGGCCACAGCACAAUAUGGUUCACUGCUGCUGAUUAAUUUCACAGAACACCCUUCAAUUUUCUUGACAUGCUUGCUCACAGAGAAAGGCAGAUGAACUCUGAACACUCCAUGGCUAUCUGUUUUCACUUCUGUCUGGAAACUUGGUUUUGAACUCCCAUCUUUGCAUUCAACACCAACAGAAGCCCCUGCAGAAAAAAUAAGUUGAAAAAUAAGUCAACUGAACGCAAAAUUCACAGUAUAAAAAGCACUUUUUAAUUGAGUUGUUGUUGGAAAAUUUGAAAUGAACCUGAAAUGAAGUGGCUGGCAUGUGAGAAUUCUGCUUGGAAACAUGUGUCACAGUAGACAGUGCCUACAACAACUGCAGAUGGGGUCUUCUUCUCAUGGCUAGCUUCUGAGGGAGUACUUAGUGAGAGAGUACUGAUCAAAAAGAGUACUGUAAAAAACCAAGACAUUUUAGAGCAUCUAUUGCCUCUGAGCAACUCUAACUCUAAGAAUGAGUAGAUGUAGGUUGCCUUUUUAUAUAAAUUCCUGAGGCUUAUAGCUGAUAUAAAUAUUCUCUACAGCAUUCAUUAUACACUUUUUUUGUUUCUUUCUGGUUGUUUCGAGGCAUAAAAAAUGAACUUUUUUCUUCAAAUUUUAUAGCCUGCUGGGCCAUCAAGGUAAUUUAUUUCACUCAUGCAAAAACCAGUCAACUGCAAACUAGAAGAAGUGAAUGUAGGUUCAUUUCCUACCACCAAACAACCCAAAAAAGAAGGUUAAUACUGUGAUUGUGAGGUAGAUAUAAAGAGGCCCCUAACUUUUGCUUUGUUUGCUUACAUUUAUUGAGUUUGUUUCUUUGUUUGGUGUAAGAAUUCUAAAGAGAAUAGUUGGGUCCCCGUUGGUUCACGAGACAAGUGGAGUAACCACAAAUUUCAUGAGUCCGAAGCUGUACACUAUCAACAACACAGGUUGAAGAUGUUGUUGGGUUUAUUUAUGUAUGUUCUUCACACAGAAACAAAAUGAUGGGCGCCUACUAUGAGCUGCUCUCAGUAAUAUAUAUCUGUGCAAAUUGAAAAACUCCCCAAGUACCAAACAAAGUUUACAACUCAAUGUAUGGAUCAGAAUCUUAUUAAUAAGGCUUUUUGGUUCAGAAUGUUAUGAUAAUCAUUAGAUUCAUUUAUUACAAUUUGCUUUAAAUUUUCUAAUUGUUUUUAACAAGUCUUUUCAGUGCAGGUGAUCCAUAAAUAGGUAAAGUAAACAGUCAAGUGAUUGCAACCGAAGAGUCUUUUCCUCAGUCUUUUGACACAAAGUUUUCUGACAAAAAAUAAAUAAAUAAAAUUUAGAUUUUAGCAACAAAAAAAUUUUCACUUUUGAAAAAAUCUAAAAAAAUUUCGAAAAAGACAUAAAAACUCCUUAACUUUCAAACCAAAAGACAUGCAAAUAUAAAUGAUUCCUUUGGAAAUCCAAAAAUAAUAAGGGCAUUUUUGUCUAUUUUUGCUUAUUUUCAAAAUAUUUCUCUCUAUUUUGGCAUUUUCCAAAAUAUCCCCAAAAAAAAACGACAAAGUUUAGACAUCAUCAGCAAUUAUAAGUCACUUGAGCACAGAUGUAUAUUCAAUAAUUGGUUUGGUUCAAAAACUACCAAUCUACAUAGUACAAUGAUUGUGGGACUGAUUAUUGGGAAUUUGUGAGACUUAUUUUAGCAGAAAAUGGACAAUGCAUAUGGCAUGCAAUGAUCCAAACUCAAAACAAAGAAGCUACGACUUCCAAGUAUUUGAGCAAUUUCAAGCCAACUCAGAAAUCUCUGUACUCUGUAGGCUUAUAAGACACUCUCCCAUGUGUUGAUGUUGCAUACAGAUUCCCUUUGCAUCAAUAUCCUUCCAUUCCAACAGUCUGUUUUUUUUUUUUUCUUUUUUAAAUUCAAUUUUCCACAUUUUUUACUGUCCGUCAAAUGCAUAGCAUUUUGGGUGAAAAAGAAAAACAAGAACUUCUACUACUGACAAAAGAGACACCAGUCACACCACAGAGGCACAAACUCCAGAAUUAUGAUAAUUACAUCCUGCAUUGGAAAUUGACAGAUUGUCUUCACGUUCCCCACAGUUUUGCAUUGAGCUGCUAACAAUCCCACAAACUUGCACCGUUUCAUUCUUUGUCCGUGGGCCACAAUUUUUGACAAAUUUGACAAUCUAAUAAGGCGGUUCCUGACAAUCCAAGGUUAUCUCCAUGACAACCACAAGCCACUGUUUCACUGUUAUCUUGUGAGGAAAUUGAAAUGUAACACCAAAUUUUCUUUUACACAGUGCAAGAGAUAAUGCAUGUUAAAAGUUAAAAAAACAAAAGGGGGAUGUUUUUGUCUAAUUCUAUGAUGUACAAAACAUCUCUUUGUCCUUCACGGGUUCCAAAACACAAUGUCACCUCUUCACUUCACGGGCGACCUUAAGCCUGUGGGCUGAGGGCCUUCGUGUCUGCUUGUUGAAUGUGGAGUUUUUCAGCCGAUGGAUACCAUUCCCAAAUGGAUACGUCAAGCUUGAAACAUACGAUGAGAUUCUUGAUUAGAUCCUUGAUGGCUUGUCCAUUAUUAUUGAAUUGAAACAACAAAGUUUGAUUGGUAACAAGGUUUGCCAACUCGAAGGGUAAGAUUGUAGCCAAUCAACUAAACUUUUUAGUGUCAGGUGCAUCCACUGAAUGUAAGGUCUCAUAUUUGAUUUACAUAAAUACAAAGAUGAUAUUUAUUUGUGACGGGUGUAUAGCUUUGUUGUGGGUACGCUUCUCAUUGUAAAAGUAUAUUUGUAAUAACAUCAGUAAUUUUUUCUUUUGUAUUAAAUAACAUUAGACACCUCAUUCAUGCAGGGAAGUUCUUUUAUCACAUUGAAUGUAUAAUGUAUAGCAGCAAUUUUCAUCCGUACAAUAAUGUAAUCAUCAGCAUGUGAUAUUUCUGUUUGUUCUUCUAUCUGAGUUUGUAUUUAUUCCAGUCUGAAUGCUUGAUAUGGAGAAAGAAAGUACUUGAUGAGCCAUCUGUCCAUGAAAUCAUUGGUUUCUAAAACAGCAUAAUAUUUGUAGAACAAAACCAUAGAUUAAAUUGUUAGAUUUCUUUAUGCACAAACAAGAUCUUUCACACAAAACUGUAAUACGUAUAAAGACAUGAAGACAUAUCUGGAGCCAUUUUCCUUGAGUACACAGCUUCUAAACUCAUCCAAUCCGUAGCAGCAGCAAUCCUAGCAAGAAUAGGAAUGGCUCAAGACUUCUGCUCUCUCUCAGAAUCUGUUUCAGCUCUCUCUUUAUAAUGAGAAUAGGUUUAAAGAACGUGUCUGAUGAGAGCAGGGCCUUAAGCUUAUAUAGGGCUAGGUCAAGUCGUCUCUAUUCAUCACCUAGGGCUGACUUGACUAAUCUUCCAAGUCCACCAGAUUGGUUCACGCAUAAAUGGAAAUAAAUAGGACCCCUUAAUAGGCCUCAAAACCCUUCCUUAUUUCACUAAGUUUUGGGCCUCAAUGUACAACUUAAUUUAAACUUUUAUUAAAAUAUAAUAUAACUUAGUAUCUAGUACACCGAUCUAAAUAGGAAAACAUAACAUAAAUAAACCCAGCUGCAAGUUUGUAUAUUGGACUGGAGUGGUACCAUUUGCAGAACAAAACAAUGUGAUACAGCGCAAACUAUAUUGGCCAGUUUGCAGAUUCGAAGAAAUAAUGCAAAAUAAUCACAACCAUCAUCUGUAUGCAAAAACAAAAAAACAAAAACAAAAAAAAAACAAAAACAAAAAAAACAAAAAAAAAAAAAAAAAAGAAGAAGAAAGAAAGAACAAUCAACGAUGCUUGUCAUAAAAAACAACUGCAGAUGGGUGCUUCUUCUCAUGGCUAGCUUCAUGAGGGAGUACUUAGUGAGAGAGUACUGAUAAAAAAGAGAACUGUAAAAAACCAAGACAUUUUAAAGCUUCUAUUGCCUCUGAGCAACUCUAACUCUAAGAAUGGGUUGAUGUAGGUUGCCUUUUAUAUCAAUUGCUGAGGCUUAUAACUAAAAACUAAUAUAAAUAUUCUCCACAGCAAUCAUUAUAAUUUUGUUUCUUUCUGGUUGUUUUGAGGAAUGAAAAAUGAACUUUUAGUUUUUUUUUUUCUUUCAAAUUUUAUAGCCUUGCCCAUCAAUAGUUUCUUUAUUUCACUCAUGCAAAAACCAGUCAACUGCAAACUAGAAGAAGUGAAUGUAGGUUCAUUUCCUACCACCAAACAAUCCAAAAAUAAGGUAAAUAUUGUGAUUGUGACUGUGAGGUAGAUAAAAAGAGGCCCCUUAAUUUUUGCUUUGCUGGUUAUUUGUCUACUUAAAUUUAUUGAGUUUGUUUCUUUGUUGGCGUAAAUACUAAAGAGAAUAGUUGGUUCACAAGACAAGUGGGGUAACCACAAAAUUUCAUGAGUCUGAAGCGUUACACUAUCAACAACGUUGAAGAUGUUGUGUUUAUUUAUGUAUGUGCUUCACACAGAACCAAAAUGAUGGGGGCCUAUUAUAUUGGUUAGAAGUACAAAUAUAUAUCAUCUCUAUAAAAAAAUCACUUGAAUCCGAUAUCAUUUGACCACUCAAUUAAAUUAUUGAAAUUUAAGUACUUUCUUGAAGCACCAUGUUCAUUGAUUUUCUUGGUCUCAAUUAGAUGUCUUAAUGAUUUUCAAUUUGCGUGAUUUUUUGCAAGGAUGAUCUCUGAAUGAAGAUGUGAAAAAUAGAUCGUUUGGAUCGUUGAAAAAAAUUUCGCAGAGAAUCCUACACCCUCAAAAUAAAAUUAUUUGAGAAAUCCCUCAAUAGAAGGGGACUAUAUAAUCUGUGAAAAUUGAAAAACUCCCAAGUCCGAAACAAAGUUUACAACUUUCCAUGGUGUCAGAAUAUGUGGUUUGAGCAGAGCACGGGAUCUUCUCGUGACCUAAUGUGGCAUAUUAAUAGGGUUUUUGCUUGGAUUAAAAUAAUAGCAAUGUGAGACCUCCAAAUCUCAUGGAGGUUUUCUACUUCUAUGAGCAUAGAACAACCCCUGAAUCAUUAGAUUCAUCUAUUGCAAUUUGCUCUAAAAUUUCUAACUGUUUUUAACUGCAUAAAAAACAAGACUUUUUGUGCAGGUAGUCCAUAAAUAGGUAAAGUAAUUCCGGCCAAAUUAAAAGUGUCAUGUGAUUACAACCAAAGAGCCUUUUCGUCAGUUAUUUGGCACAAAGUUUAGAACCUUGUAUCACCACUAUCAGUAAUUAUGAGUAAUUUGAGCACAGCUGGGACAACAAUAAAACAAUGUAUAUUCAAUAAUGCAUCAGUGACAAUUGACUGCUAUGGAUAAUGGGUUUGGUGAAAUAAAAAACUACCAAUAUACUACAUACAACAAUGAUUUUGGGAUUUGAUUAUUUGGAAUUUGAGAGACUUACAUUUAGCAGAAAAUGCACAAGCAUAUGUGCGUUUACCCUAAACAUGUUCAAACCUCAGAGAUAGGCUUUAGAUUGUGUGAAUUGUGAACGUGCCACUAUUAGUGGUGUAAAACCCUAAUAGACUUGAAAGAGAAUUAAGUAACUUGCGCACCAAGAAAACUCACUGAAAUCAAAUAAUUGUGAAUUGAAAUGGUAAACUAAAUCAAAGUUUCUUUUCCAUGCCUCAAGACAAAUGACAACUUUAUAAUUUCUCUAAAACAAUAAGGGUAAUAAACAACAAAUAAACAAGUAAACAAAAGGGAUCCAGAUCAAGGGAUCUUAUUAGAUAAUAAAUUGCCACCACCUUGGAUCACUUCUGAUUGAAUUCAGAGGUUAAGGGUCUAGUGGCAAUAGCAGUAGUAUAUCACAUCACCUUCAAUUGAUGAAGAUCAAUUGGAAAUCGAUACCAGAGACAGAUCUGGCAGAGCAAUUAUCAAGAAAGAUAUAGCAUUUGAGAAGGAAUUAGGGUUUGUACUGAAUUUAUUGUUGAAAAGUUGUGUUUGUUAUCGUGAGCUAUCUAUUCCCUUUUAUAUGAAUUUUGACUUGGUGGAGAGAGAUUACAACCUAUGUCAUGCCAUCAUGAGGAUCAAAUCAUAAUCCAUUGGAAUUAAUUAUUUAGUUGAUUGCCUUAAUCGUCAAGUAAUAUCAUGAUUUCUCCUUGAUUUUCUAGGUAAUUAUCAAUUAAUAGAUAAUUCCCUUUCCCAGCCACUUAAACUGGCCCAAGGAAUCUUAACCGGAUUGCAAUACUAAAAUCCCCCCCAAAUUGGCUUAAAUCUCAUCUGUAUAAAAACUAGGCCUAAACAUUACCCCAUAAGCCCAAUAGACUUGAUUAGAGGGAUUUGGGGUUACAUGCAUGAGCGUGACACCAUGCGUCGUUUUCAUUUCAAUCACUUCAAUCGCGCCAUUUUGACUUCUACUUUAGUCUUUCGAACCUUUCUAUCUUCUUCUCACUACGAAGCCUAGAGAUUCUUAGCGAUUAUCGAUACCUUCAACUUUUCCAAACUUUUGUUACCGAAAGUCUCAAGUUUCACCACCCCCUAACCAAUUCUCGUUUCAGAAACCAUUUCUUUGUCUCAAUGGCCACCUCUGACUCCAACGUCCCAAAGCCUAUCUCUGAAAAAUAUGCUAUUAUAUAUGCAUGCCCAAGACAUUUGUGCAUAAUUGGGUAAAGUUGCUGAUGAUGGUCCAACGCUCGUACAAUUUAACUGAGCGUCCAGACUUCAACACUGGGUCCAUAAAGAACAGUCUACUGCAAAGGUUUGAGUGGAUUGGCGAUCUUCAUGACCAGUAUCCGGAGCUUUGGGAAAAGCAUCGCAUUUACGAUGCCAUUAUGCUUUUUCGUUUUGACACUUCGAGGGGUAUUUGUUCUCAACAUAUGCAGGGGAUCUUUCUCAAGCACAUGAGAAAGUCUACUCAUUAGAUCAUUUUAGUAGCAAUAAUAUUGUAGGGCUUUUUCGUUCUGGCAGCUAUAGAUUAGUCUGGGCUACUGUAAAGAGUAAAUUGGAGAAAACUCCCCAUGUGUCUAAGUUCAAGAAUAAGACCCCAAAAGUGCUUCGAAAGGGUAGCUAAGCCUUAGAAAACACCUUGGUCUUCUUCACCAAUGAAACCAACAGUUGCUUACAAAUAAAUGCUUGGCUUGGCUUGAGAAGCUUGUGGCAUGGAAGCUAAGCAUUCAUGAGUUUAGCAAGAGAGAGAGAGAGAGAGAGAGAGAGAGACCAUAUUUUCUACGAGAAACACAGGUUUAAAGCAAAGGAUUUCAUGAGAAUUUGCUGAGGAGACAAGAUUUUUGGGAGCUCAAAAGUCUUCUUGCAACUGUUCCAGUGGUAACCUCUCAUCUAUGGUUAUCACUUCUCCUUCUUUCCUCCCAUAUUUCAUGGCAAGAGCUGAUAAAGGAAGAAAAUAGAUAGCAACGUUGGUCUGAAGGAUGUCUUUUCUCCUAGCAACCUGCUGGCGCUAAUACCCUUUGGUCAUUUGAAUGGUUUGUCUUGAGGUUUGCACCUGGUCACGUGCUAGAGCCUCACAGCAGCCUACAUAUGUGAGUCAUUCCUUGGCUUUUUGUUGUGGUUUUGUCUCCAACCAUGUGCUGGAGACUUUCAAAUAUUUUUUUUGAUCAUUUGGGCCUUCCUAAGGUAAUGGGUUUGUCUACUAGGGAAUGGGCCAACUUCACAAAGUGAUAGACUACUUUUAUUAAGGUGAUGGGUCAAUUUUCUAAAGUGGUGGGCUCUCUUUUUCUCUCAUUUAUGCUUACCCAGAUAUUUGGACUCAAGAAAUGGGCUCGAGUUUUGGGGCUCCCAAGCAAUCUAAAACUUCAAUUUCUCGGCUCAUCAAUGGGCCUCAUGAAUGCUCGUUACCAUCCAUACUACAACCCACUCAGCAAGCCCCGAACAUUUGCAUGGCUUGGGCCUACUUAAGCUUAUAGCAUGGCUAUGUGUAAUAAUGAUUUUCUGCUUGGCAUUGCAUGUUGAUUGGCGUGCCUGAAUUUUAUCGUCUUUGAAAAGGGAUAUGAUGCUUGACGGGAGAAUUAGCAUGGGCUUGUAGAGCUAGUGCCUUUUAUGGGCUCAUUUCAAUUCUUAGCGUGACGGAUUGCAUAUUUAUUUCGCAUGGCACGUGGAUCGUGGCUCUUGCAAGCAUGCAUGACGAAUUUCGCAUACUCCAAACCGAGUCUCUUCUUAAUUAGGUGUCGCACUGGACCAGGAAUUUAUUUGGACCUCAAGUUACAUACACGAUUUUUUUUUUCUUCACAUGGGUCAUUUUAGUAGUUGUGAUAACUUAAUAGUAUAUCUUCCUAUGUUAAAAUUAUAUACAUGGGAUUUUUCUCAUGCGCGUGAGAGAUUUAGGUCCCAUAUCAUUUUAUUGUGAACUCUUUAUUGAAUAUCCUCCCAUUCGCAAUUUAUGCGCAUUUUCUCAAGCUCAUGAAAGAUUCUGGUGAUUAGAUUACUUAAUGGAACAAUGAACUUAUGAUAACAUUUGUCAUGCAUAUACAUGCGCGCAUGAGAGUAUUGUCAUAGUAUCUAUACAUGCCCCAUUCUUAUCAUCUUCUCUGCUUGAUCUGGAAAUAUUAUCUAUGAUUCGCUAACACGACACGAAUUCACAAGAAAAAAUCAAUAUUUGGGUUUAGCUUGGACUCGUUAGCCACCCAUUAAGCUAAUAGGUCAUAUCAGUAUCAUUCACGAAUAUUCGCUAACGGGUUGUGUUGGUCAUUCACGAAUUUAAACAGGUCAUGUCCGUGUUUGGUAUUUUCCACCCGUUAACUUAACGGGUCGUGUUCAUAUCAACUCGUUAAGAAAGUGGGUCAACACAAACACAACAAUAUAUUUGGUCCAAGUGCUAUGGGUAUAGCAAUGCUGCAUUGAUCCUAAGCUUUUUUAUUUUUUGUUUGGACGGAUGAUGCUAAGCUUAAUGAGUGCAAUAUAUUUUGCUAAAUAUAUAUGAGCUCAAGAAACUCCGAAUUAUGGUGCAGCACCCAACACCUUUAGAACAUUACAAAAGGGACCAACAAAGCUUAACAAGCCUCAUGAAACACUGUGACUGCAAACAAAUCAACUGGGUCAUUUAGGCCCAGUCCCCAAACAAAGUUCUUUCCCUAAUCAUAUUUACGAAUGGAAGUUGAAAGUUGAAGCCACUCAUUUAUUUCACAUGCAAUUUAAUUUGUGCUCUCAUAUUAAUUAUUUAAGCACUAAUUUUAUGCGCAUUUGGUAUUUGAGGUUGAUAAUUUAGUGGUGCUGAUGGACAAGUCUUAACUGUGUGUGUGUUUUGCAGAAGUACAGGCUCAACAGCAGGGGCGCCCAACCAGCAGCUUCUGCCAACAGUUCGCAGAGGGCAGCCCUGUUUUACUACAGGGACAUGUGGAACCCUAGCGCUUCUGAGCAGUCAAACUCUCGGCAGCAGCAGCUCGAAAGUGCAAGGAAUGGUGGAGAUGGCUCUUCAGUUGGUGGCUCUAGCAGAACCAGAAUUGAAAAAAUCAAAGAGUUAGGUUAGAUGAUGUUUAGUUAUGCAUCUGCUGAGAUUUUGCAUAUGUGUAUAUGAGGGCAUGUAUAGCAAAAGAUUAGGAUUCAGGAAAUAAUCAGAACCUGAAAGUUGUUUAUAAUUUCUUCUUUCUUUUUUGGGUCUCAAAAGUUGUUUAAUUUCAUGUUGAAUUGUAGCUGUGAUGCAUUUUUUGUUUUUGUUUUUGCUUUUUGGGUUUCAAUUUCUGCCCAAAUUGGUGCAGUUUAAGUUCUAAAAUUUCCAUUUUCAUGGACUUGUGUUUCCCAAGCAAACUGGUCUAAGAAGAACAAUUCAAUUUUAGCAUGAAGAAGCAAUUUUUUCUUCUUCUUCUCGAAGGGUCUUUUUGAUUGGACAAUGUUGAAAUGCAGCUCCAAAUUCAGCAAUUCAGGUAUAAUUCUACAGAGGGAGUUCAUAAUUAAUGCAAACAGUGGCACAAAAUCUCAGAAUAUAUUGGGAUUUUUUACUAAGUAAAUGAAGUCUGUCAGAUGAUGAGAGAACCAUAGCUUUAUUCCAAGUACAAUAACUUACAUACUCCUUACAAAGUACAAACUUACAAGCCCUACUACAUAUGCUUCUGAUAAUUGCACACCCCAUACAAACUUAACAUGAUUUAUUUAGUUAAUGAUUUCAGUUUAAUAUCAAGGAGAAGUAGUUUGCUUUGAAGAAGCCCGUGGGAUUCCAGGAAUGCGAGAUGUUGGUGGUGAUGGAUUUGGAGGCAAACUUGUUUUUGGAAUUUGUGGUGUUGUGAAGGAAGUAUCUGGGCGAGCUACUUUUUUAUCAUUUAGUUGCCCUGCCUUUCCUAGUCCUGGAAGUCCAGGAAGUCCUGGGAGUCCUGGAAGUCCCGGAAGUCCUGGAAGUCCCGGAAGUCCUGGAAGUCCCGGCAGUCCCGGAAGUCCUGGCAGUCCCGGAAGUCCUAAUAAUUUUUUGUCAGUUAGUUGCCCUCCCUUUGUAUUUUUACCAGUAAAGGGGGUUAAUUGUGGAAUUCCUGGAAGUCCUGGGAGUCCUGGAAGUCCUGUUCCUGGGAGUCCUGGAAGUCCUACUUUUUUAUCAGUUAGUUGCCCUGCCUUCGUAGUUUUACCAGGAAAGGGGGAUGUAACUGGAAUUCCUGGAAAUGAAGAUUUCUGAGAACUGAAUUCCUUGGAGUUUGGAAUGCUUGGUUUUUGGUUACAGAGGCUUGGCUGCUUUAGAGGCUUGAAGGUGAAGAAACCAGCUGAGAAUAUAUAUGUUCCUUGCUCACUUGACUUGAGAUGCAGUGAAGAUGAAGUGGCUGUUGAGGACACAGCACAAUAUGGUUCACUGCUGCUGAUUAAUUUCACAGAACACCCUUCAAUUUUCUUGACACGCUUGCUCACAGAGAAAGGCAAAUGGACUCUGAACACUCCAUGGCUAUCUGUUUUCACUUCUGUCUGGAAACUUGGUUUUGAACUCCCAUCUUUGCAUUCUACACCAACAGAAGCCCCUGCAGAAAAAUAAGUUGAAAUUAAGUUAACUGAACCCAAAAUUCACAAUAUAAAAAGCACUUUUGAUUGAGUUGUAGGAAAUUUGAAAUGAACCUGAAAUGAAGUGGCUGGCAUGUGAGAAUUCGGCUUGGAAACAUGUGUCACAGUAGACAGUGCCUACAACAACUGCAGAUGGGGGCUUCUUCUCAUGGCUAGCUUCUGAGGGAGUAGUCAAUGAGAGAGAACUGAUCAAAAAGAGUAGUGUAAAAAACCAA
RNAcentral lists this long non-coding RNA (11790 nucleotides) under Prunus persica (peach). RNAcentral describes it as "long non-coding RNA (PPER_LNC003861)". Lineage: Eukaryota; Viridiplantae; Streptophyta; Magnoliopsida; Rosales; Rosaceae. The record is from RNAcentral.